AUGACGUCGACCGCGGCGGCGUCCGGCUCCGACUCCCGGCGGCUCUUGCCCGGCCGUCAGAACUCCCAUCAGAUGGACAGGAUCAAUGGAAAUGGCCAGAAGUCUGCCACUCAAGCCUCCACAUUCUCCGAUGGAGCAGACGAAUUUGACGACGACGCGCUUAUUGCCUCGGAAGCGCUGUCUUGCAGAACUGGCGGCUUUGAGAGAAAUGCAGGCCCUGGGAAUUUGGGGAUGUUUGGUAGCCUGAAGUUUGUGGUGCUCAAGUCAAAGCUCAACCUGUUGAUACCGUGUGGCUUUGUGGCAAUCGUCGUCAAGGACAUGACAGGAAAUAAUGGUUGGGUGUUUCCCCUGACUCUGUUGGGCAUUAUUCCUUUGGCCGAGCGACUGGGCUUCGCCACCGAGCAGUUAGCAUUCUUCACAGGCCCAACAGUUGGGGGCCUUCUGAAUGCUACAUUUGGAAAUGCGACCGAGUUGAUUAUAUCGAUCCAUGCGCUAAGGAGUGGAAAGUUACGAGUUGUCCAGCAGUCUCUGCUAGGGUCCAUCCUGUCAAACUUGCUUCUGGUUCUCGGUUGCGCAUUUUUCAGUGGAGGGGUCACUUGUGGCAAAACUGAGCAGAACUUCAGCAAGUCAGAGGCAGUAGUGAGCUCUGGGCUGCUUUUGAUGGCCGUAUUGGGGUUGCUGCCUCCUACUGUGCUGCAUUACACUCAUUCAGAAGUCCACUCUGGAAAGUCAGGACUAGCCUUGUCAAGGUUCAGCAGCUGCGUCAUGCUUGUUGCUUACGCUUGCUACAUCUACUUUGAACUGACAACCAGUCGCCGUCGUGAGGAAUCUAAUGAAGGAAGAGGUGAGAAUGUAGGGGAUGCCGACAACAUCGAAGCUCCUGACAUUUCAAAAUGGGAAGCCAUUUCCUGGCUUGCAAUUUUGACAAUUUGGAUCUCAGUACUCUCUGACUACUUAGUUAAUGCAAUCGACGGGGCUUCCCAAGCUUGGAAUAUACCGGUUGCGUUCAUCAGUGUUAUUUUGCUUCCGAUUGUGGGGAAUGCUGCAGAACAUGCUAGUGCUGUCAUGUUUGCAAUGAAAGACAAAUUAGAUCUUUCCCUUGGAGUUGCAAUAGGGUCGUCAACGCAAAUGUCCAUGUUUGGGAUACCAUUUUGUGUAGUGAUAGGGUGGAUGAUGGGCCAGCCCAUGGACUUGAACUUUCAUCUUUUCGAGACCGCAAGCCUCUUAAUGACGGUACUGGUUGUCGCUUUUUUGUUGCAGGAUGGGACUUCAAAUUGCUUAAAAGGGUUGAUGCUGUUUCUAUGCUAUCUGAUAGUCGCUGCUAGUUUCUAUGUACAUUCCGAUCAGGAUCCUGAUGGCAAGUUCUUCACUUCUGCACUUCCUCUGCCUGUUCUUUUAUCUUUCAGAUCAAAAGCUUUACACACUGCUUUGAUUAAAGCCACCGGGUUCGGGUACAUGGUUGAUUAG
RNAcentral lists this ribosomal RNA (1467 nucleotides) under Triticum aestivum (bread wheat). RNAcentral's name for it is "partial small subunit ribosomal RNA". The record is from RNAcentral. Lineage: Eukaryota; Viridiplantae; Streptophyta; Magnoliopsida; Poales; Poaceae.